RNAcentral lists this long non-coding RNA (677 nucleotides) under Felis catus (domestic cat). RNAcentral describes it as "lncRNA (ENSFCAG00000053711.1)". The record is from RNAcentral. Lineage: Eukaryota; Metazoa; Chordata; Mammalia; Carnivora; Felidae.
UGUAAAAUACUGCGGUUUAUAGUUAUUUACAAAUGUAAGCUUUGGUAUAAGCUGACCUUUCUAUAGCGUGCUGCAUUGGUAAAUGAAAAAGAGCAGGAAGAGCGUCGUGUUUCUGCAUCGUCUCCAGCUGCCAUCCCACCGGGACCACUGCCUUUCAGCCACUGGGAGCUGGGACUGCGGAGGAAAUUCAGAACGAUCGAUACCAGAGCACGGGAUCAGUCCGUGCGCCGCGAUAUACAUAUUCACAGCCUGGCAGUUCUAGGAGCCUGGGUAGGCAUAAGGGACUGGUGAGAAGAAAAAAAAAAAAAGGUUGAUUUAUGAUGAUCUCAAAAACAUGGUCUCCAAAGAUGUAUUCUGCAGCUCUGAGACCUCGGGUUUAAGCUCUAUUAAUUUUACAGAACUGUCUGGGAUUACCCAUCUGUUUAAAGGUUAACUGUCUUCACACUUAUGAAAUGGGUAUCUCUGUUUUGGUUCUUACUUUGUUCCUGUUAAUGAUUUAUAAAAUACAAAAUGCAAAGCCAGUGAAAUAGCUUUAAAUCUUCACUAUGAAACACCCACCUGACCAAGUUUUUGAGAGACACAAAGUAUCACUCAUGUCCUGCCCAGGACACCUUGGAAAUCCGGCCGCUCUACGCGCCCCGUUUUGAAUAAAGCAGAAAGAAAAGCUCCCCCCCCCA